Molecule: small nuclear RNA, 23 nt
Filed under: Arabidopsis thaliana (thale cress)
Lineage: Eukaryota; Viridiplantae; Streptophyta; Magnoliopsida; Brassicales; Brassicaceae
Description: snRNA_14296
Source: RNAcentral
GUCGUGCCCGGACCCUGUCGCAC